GGAGGGUUGGCAGAGUGGUUGAAUGCAACGGUCUUGAAAACCGUCGUGCCUUAACGGUACCGAGGGUUCGAAUCCCUCACCCUCCU
RNAcentral lists this transfer RNA (86 nucleotides) under Candidatus Cardinium hertigii. It matches the Rfam family "tRNA". Rfam says of the family: Transfer RNA (tRNA) molecules are approximately 80 nucleotides in length. Lineage: Bacteria; Pseudomonadati; Bacteroidota; Cytophagia; Cytophagales; Amoebophilaceae. RNAcentral also lists the same sequence under 1 other name. The record is from Rfam by way of RNAcentral.